This 484-nucleotide ribosomal RNA is filed under the name uncultured bacterium. RNAcentral describes it as "partial 16S ribosomal RNA". It matches the Rfam family "Bacterial small subunit ribosomal RNA", at positions 30 to 507 of the family's 1533-position model. The record is from RNAcentral.
AUUGAACGCUGGCGGCAGGCCUAACACAUGCAAGUCGAGCGGAUGAAGGGAGCUUGCUCCUGGAUUCAGCGGCGGACGGGUGAGUAAUGCCUAGGAAUCUGCCUGGCAGUGGGGGAUAACGUCCGGAAACGGGCGCUAAUACCGCAUACGUCCUGAGGGUGAAAGUGGGGGAUCUUCGGACCUCACGCUAUCAGAUGAGCCUAGGUCGGAUUAGCUAGUUGGUAGGGUAAAGGCCUACCAAGGCGACGAUCCGUAACUGGUCUGAGAGGAUGAUCAGUCACACUGGAACUGAGACACGGUCCAGACUCCUACGGGAGGCAGCAGUGGGGAAUAUUGGACAAUGGGCGAAAGCCUGAUCCAGCCAUGCCGCGUGAGUGAAGAAGGUCUUCGGAUUGUAAAGCACUUUAAGUUGGGAGGAAGGGCAGUAAGUUAAUACCUUGCUGUUUUGACGUUACCAACAGAAUAAGCACCGGCUAACUUCGUG